CUCUGCGCAACCACGAAUCAUAUAAAACACAUAGUUGUCCAACGCGUUUCUGAACCAUUUCAAAAUGACGUACCGAAAUACGUGACUACCAAAUACUUGCUGCGCAAUCCCUUUGAAAAUUUCGGUUCAAGUUCAACGUAACAUUUGUUGGUGCCUAGUGUAUUUUCCUAUAGAUGACGCUAGACACGUUCUCCAUCGUAUUUAUUAUUAUACAGAAAAAUCAGUAAAUAUUAAUAAGAAAUCGCGGGAAUUCAACAAUUAAACUGACAUUUCUAUAAAAUACAUAUAUAUGUCCAUAAAUUACAUAAUUCGCUGUAUUUUCGGAAAUACUAUACUAUAUUUGUAAAGUUAACGGACCGAGGAACGCAAUUAUUUCAACCGUCGACAUAUCGCCAAUAGGAUUCAGUAAUACUGAAUGUUAUCACUAGAAACUUACUAUAUAUGUACAUAUUAUAUGUAUAUAUAUAUAUAUAUA
Nomia melanderi (Alkali bee) is the source of this 475-nucleotide non-coding RNA. The record is from RefSeq and is a predicted model, not a curated record. Lineage: Eukaryota; Metazoa; Arthropoda; Insecta; Hymenoptera; Halictidae.